Unclassified non-coding RNA from Otolemur garnettii (small-eared galago), 297 nucleotides. It matches the Rfam family "Metazoan signal recognition particle RNA". From Rfam's summary of the family: The signal recognition particle (SRP) is a universally conserved ribonucleoprotein. Lineage: Eukaryota; Metazoa; Chordata; Mammalia; Primates; Galagidae. The record is from Ensembl.
ACUGGGCGUGGUGGCAUGCACAUGUAGUCUCAGCUACUCAGGAGGUUGACAGGGGAGGAUCUUUUGAGCCCCAGUGUUCUGGGCAGUAGUGCACUAUGAUAGUCAGGUGUCCACACUAAGUUCAGUGUCAGUAUGGUGACUGGGAGCAAGGGACCACCAGGUUGCCUAAGGAGGGGUGAACCCCUGGCCCAGAUCAGAAAUGGAGCAGAUCGAAACUCCUAUGAUGAUCAGUAGCAGGACUGCACCUGUGAAUAGCCACCACAUUCCUGCCUAGGCAACAUAGCAAGAACCCGUCUU